This 766-nucleotide ribosomal RNA is filed under the name uncultured bacterium. RNAcentral's name for it is "bacterial SSU rRNA". It matches the Rfam family "Bacterial small subunit ribosomal RNA", at positions 59 to 838 of the family's 1533-position model. The record is from RNAcentral.
AAGUCGAACGAGCGAGAGAGAGCUUGCUUUCUCGAGCGAGUGGCGAACGGGUGAGUAACGCGUGAGGAACCUGCCUCAAAGAGGGGGACAACAGUUGGAAACGACUGCUAAUACCGCAUAAGCCCACGGCUCGGCAUCGAGCAGAGGGAAAAGGAGCAAUCCGCUUUGAGAUGGCCUCGCGUCCGAUUGGCUAGUUGGUGAGGUAACGGCCCACCAAGGCGACGAUCGGUAGCCGGACUGAGAGGUUGAACGGCCACAUUGGGACUGAGACACGGCCCAGACUCCUACGGGAGGCAGCAGUGGGGAAUAUUGCACAAUGGGGGAAACCCUGAUGCAGCGACGCCGCGUGGAGGAAGAAGGUCUUCGGAUUGUAAACUCCUGUUGUUGGGGAAGAUAAUGACGGUACCCAACAAGGAAGUGACGGCUAACUACGUGCCAGCAGCCGCGGUAAAACGUAGGUCACAAGCGUUGUCCGGAAUUACUGGGUGUAAAGGGAGCGCAGGCGGGAAGACAAGUUGGAAGUGAAAUCUAUGGGCUCAACCCAUAAACUGCUUUCAAAACUGUUUUUCUUGAGUAGUGCAGAGGUAGGCGGAAUUCCCGGUGUAGCGGUGGAAUGCGUAGAUAUCGGGAGGAACACCAGUGGCGAAGGCGGCCUACUGGGCACCAACUGACGCUGAGGCUCGAAAGUGUGGGUAGCAAACAGGAUUAGAUACCCUGGUAGUCCACACCGUAAACGAUGAUUACUAGGUGUUGGAGGAUUGACCCC